This 254-nucleotide ribosomal RNA is filed under the name uncultured bacterium. RNAcentral describes it as "partial 16S ribosomal RNA". It matches the Rfam family "Bacterial small subunit ribosomal RNA", at positions 524 to 776 of the family's 1533-position model. The record is from RNAcentral.
UACGUAGGGGGCGAGCGUUGUCCGGAUUUAUUGGGCGUAAAGAGCUCGUAGGCGGUUCGAUAAGUCGGAUGUGAAAUCUCCACGCUCAACGUGGAGGGGCCAUUCGAUACUGUCGUGACUCGAGUCCGGUAGGGGAGUGUGGAAUUCCCGGUGUAGCGGUGAAAUGCGCAGAGAUCGGGAGGAACACCCGUAGCGAAGGCGGCUCACUGGCCCGAUACUGACGCUGAGGUGCGAAAGCGUGGGGAGCAAACAGG